Long non-coding RNA from Prinia subflava (tawny-flanked prinia), 2665 nucleotides. RefSeq lists it as uncharacterized. The transcript is spliced from 3 exons. NCBI's taxonomy places the organism in Eukaryota, Metazoa, Chordata, Aves, Passeriformes, Cisticolidae. The record is from RefSeq and is a predicted model, not a curated record.
CCGCCCCCCACCCGCCCCCCUAACGCCCUUUCCCCUCACGGCCUCGGCCAUGGCCGGCCCUCCCGGAGAAAGGCAGCGGCGCCGGGAAGAGGAGGAAGAGGAGAGGAGGAGUCGCACAGAUUCAAGAGCUCGAGCUCCAAGAGAUGUAAUAAGCGGUUAUGUUACGAGUCUUUGCAGCGCCAAAUCUGUGAGCACAGGCUGGUGCAAACAGGAGAGUACAGGGUACGAGUACGCCUCUUUAACUCAUCUCAGGUUAUGUUAAUUGUGGAUCUCACCAUCUCAUGAAGAAAGAGGGCAUGAGUUCAGGACCUGCAUUUUCCUGGGCUGCUCUGUGACCUUGGGUAAAGCAGCUCACUUUACACAGAUUUAUUUUGACUGCCGUUAAAAUGGAAAUAAAGAUACCUUUUCUCUUUUCAAGCAUUGAGUAAGAGCCUCAAAGCAUUGCUGUGGAUUAAUUAUUUGGAGUCUGUUCUCUUUCCUGCUUCUUUUUGAAAACAAGGUUAAGAUGCUUUGAGACCAUAGGAGAAAAAACUCAUGUGUAUGAGUUUGAUUUAUUUUACAUUUAAGAGGAAGCCUUACCUAGAUCUUGCCCUCUGAGAGUUGGAAUUUAUCAAAUGAAGAAGAUAACUGUCAGCUUGUCAGUGUAUUGAACCAUAUAGGGAGGGUAGGAGGAAGCUCAAGAAGGUUAUCAAGCACUAAGCAUAAAAAUUAAUGAUAAUAUAAUACCCAUGUGAAAAGGAAGAAAAGCAUUUACAUUUUACGUUACAUUUCUAUUUCCAGAUACAAAUAACUGCAUCCAAUAACCCUUACAAUUGUGCAUGCGAUACAUGGCUUUGUAAUUAAAAAUAAUUUGAGAUGAGGCAAAAUACGCAUCCCCAGUUUUUGAAAACGUUCCCAAAUUGUUAGAGUUUAACAAAUAGUUGCUAUGUGAUAAGAACACGACGAGUGUGUGGGAGGUCUUUUCAAGGGAAAAAAAAAAGCCUUUGUGUGAGGCAAACUUUCAACAUUAGGGGAACUCACUCUGUUCAUAACAACUCUUUUCUGUUUAUAAACAACAUUCUCCUGAAGGAAACAGGAGUGCUGGAGAAGUGCAAGAGAAGACAUCGAAGAUUUUCACAGUGUAGCACUUUUUAAGUCAGUCCUAGAUGUCUGAAUUUUAAUACCAAUUUUCCUGCUGUUGUGAUUUUUAUUAGUCUCACCAUGAACUCAUAUUCCAUUCUUUAUUUCUCCACUGGAUACAGCCUAUCCUAAACCUAAAUAUUAACAGCAUUACAUGGAUAUUUUAUGUUGUUCCAAAUAUUUCUGGCAGCUUUGCAGUCACUUGUGACACAAUAAAGAAUUUUUGAGUAGAGCAGAUCAGAGCAAGGCAACACGGGAACAGUUACCAGGUGUGACUUGUUCUGCAGUAAGGGUGCCCUUGGAACCAGCUGCUUUUUGGAGCAGGUAAGAGACUUCUGGUCACAGUACCUGUGUGUUCCGGCCAUUUAGAUGGAUUGUUCAAGGAAGAACUGUUCCUAACCAUAGUUUGUGCCAUGCUGGAGUCAAGCAGAGCUUUCCUCACUCAGCAGGAGCAGGGCCUGCCCUCUCUAGGUUGUGCAAAGACCAUCUGCCUGUCGCCUUCGGAGCGCAAAUACAAUCUGUUACUUUGUCAAAAUAAACAACACAUAUAUCUGAUCAUUUCUAGCCUACUGCCUGCCUGACUCCCCAGCUAUGGGGGAAACAGCUCGUUUAUGGCACUUCCAUUUUGGGCCAGAAGCUGUUGAAUCUCAAACAUUGCAAUGAAUAUUUCCUAGCUGCAGAGCCCAGGCUCAGGGCUUUGCUCUCGCUGGGCUGGCAGGCGUUCAGGGUGUCCUGGCAGGACGGGAAUGCCGAGUACUCCAGAAGCUCCAUUUUAUGUGUGUAUACAAUCCAGGAAACUCGAACAGGUCAGUGUGAGCACUGCCCUGACAUUAGGAUAACCAAAUGCAAUCAAAGUGGAUGUGUGUCUAUACCGUGGUGAUAGAGAACUGCUGUAACAACCGAGUUCUGCAACUAAUCGGUAUUUCUGUAAUGAAGGAUUUUUCCCAUUAUUUAGCCAUUUUAAAACCCUUCUUCCACCUUUCAUAUUGCUUAUGUCUUGUUAUGCCAGUAGAUUGGGUACAAUAGGCUAAAGAAGCCAGAAAAGCUACAUCCUAACUUUCUGGAGAAUUCUCUUUUAAUAGUACUUUCUUAAAUUAGACCAUGCCAUGUACUUCAGAAUUUAAAGACUGUGUGUGUCAGAUUCUGAGAUGUUAAGGUAGGCUGAUUACCCCCAGUCAUAGGUUAGCUAUAGUGUGUAAGCAAGGGGAAAGGUCUUUCCUCCCCAAACCAACUAAUUCUAAAAGUUAAAUGUAGCUUAUUAGUGUAACACAGUAUCAGAGAUGUCUUUUCCUCCUUUAAAAAGAGGCUGUAUUCAUUGUUACUUACCCUUAAAUGCAGCUAUGCUGACUGCAGAGGUCAUUGUCUUAAUUAUUCCUUGGUCAUAUAAAUAAAAAUAUUAAUUGACUGUUUAAUCACAAUCAACAUGACUUUUUUUUUCCUAAUGGAGAUUUACAAAUAUGCCUUUUAGAAUGAAGAAAAAAAAAAGAAUAAUUAUAACAAACCCCAGAAAAUAACAUUGUUUUCAGCUGAGGAAUACUUUGUAGGA